RNAcentral lists this ribosomal RNA (253 nucleotides) under uncultured bacterium. RNAcentral's name for it is "partial 16S ribosomal RNA". It matches the Rfam family "Bacterial small subunit ribosomal RNA", at positions 524 to 776 of the family's 1533-position model. The record is from RNAcentral.
UACAGAGGUCUCAAGCGUUGUUCGGAUUCAUUGGGCGUAAAGGGUGUGUAGGUGGCGCCGUUAGUCGGGUGUGAAAUUUCGGAGCUUAACUCCGAAACUGCAUUCGAUACUGCGGUGCUUGAGGACUGGAGAGGAGACUGGAAUUCAUGGUGUAGCAGUGAAAUGCGUAGAGAUCAUGAGGAAGACCAGUGGCGAAGGCGGGUCUCUGGACAGUUCCUGACACUGAGACACGAAGGCCAGGGGAGCAAGCGGG